This 253-nucleotide ribosomal RNA is filed under the name uncultured prokaryote. RNAcentral describes it as "partial 16S ribosomal RNA". It matches the Rfam family "Bacterial small subunit ribosomal RNA", at positions 524 to 776 of the family's 1533-position model. The record is from RNAcentral.
UACGAAGGUGGCAAGCGUUACUCGGAAUUACUGGGCGUAAAGCGCAUGUAGGCGGCUUAUUAAGUCGGAUGUGAAAUCCCUCGGCUCAACUGAGGAACUGCAUCCGAUACUGGUAAGCUUGAGUGUCGGAGGGGAUGGUAGAAUUCCUGGUGUAGAGGUGAAAUUCGUAGAUAUCAGGAGGAAUACCUGUGGCGAAGGCGACCAUCUGGAAGACAACUGACGCUGAGAUGCGAAAGCGUGGGUAGCAAACAGG